GACGAACGCUGGCGGCGUGCCUAAUACAUGCAAGUAGAACGCUGAAGAGAGGAGCUUGCUCUUCUUGGAUGAGUUGCGAACGGGUGAGUAACGCGUAGGUAACCUGCCUUGUAGCGGGGGAUAACUAUUGGAAACGAUAGCUAAUACCGCAUAACAAUGGAUGACACAUGUCAUUUAUUUGAAAGGGGCAAUUGCUCCACUACAAGAUGGACCUGCGUUGUAUUAGCUAGUAGGUGAGGUAAUGGCUCACCUAGGCGACGAUACAUAGCCGACCUGAGAGGGUGAUCGGCCACACUGGGACUGAGACACGGCCCAGACUCCUACGGGAGGCAGCAGUAGGGAAUCUUCGGCAAUGGGGGCAACCCUGUCCGAGCAACGCCGCGUGAGUGAAGAAGGUUUUCGGAUCGUAAAGCUCUGUUGUAAGUCAAGAACGGGUGUGAGAGUGGAAAGUUCACACUGUGACGGUAGCUUACCAGAAAGGGACGGCUAACUACGUG
This 497-nucleotide ribosomal RNA is filed under the name uncultured bacterium. RNAcentral's name for it is "partial 16S ribosomal RNA". It matches the Rfam family "Bacterial small subunit ribosomal RNA", at positions 28 to 507 of the family's 1533-position model. The record is from RNAcentral.